GCUGGGCAUGGUGGCGUGCACCUGUACUCCCAGCUACUCGGGAGGCUGAGGCAGAAGAAUCGCUUGAACCCAGGGGGCGGGGUUGCAGUGAGCUGAGAUCGUGCCACUGCACUCCAGCCUGGGUGACAGAGCGAGACUCUGUCUCAA
This 147-nucleotide non-coding RNA is filed under the name Homo sapiens (human). The record is from Rfam by way of RNAcentral. Lineage: Eukaryota; Metazoa; Chordata; Mammalia; Primates; Hominidae.